RNAcentral lists this non-coding RNA (148 nucleotides) under Streptomyces afghaniensis 772. Its description in RNAcentral is "Bacterial small subunit ribosomal RNA". It matches the Rfam family "Bacterial small subunit ribosomal RNA", at positions 1 to 150 of the family's 1533-position model. The record is from Rfam by way of RNAcentral. Lineage: Bacteria; Bacillati; Actinomycetota; Actinomycetes; Kitasatosporales; Streptomycetaceae.
UUCACGGAGAGUUUGAUCCUGGCUCAGGACGAACGCUGGCGGCGUGCUUAACACAUGCAAGUCGAACGAUGAACCACUUCGGUGGGGAUUAGUGGCGAACGGGUGAGUAACACGUGGGCAAUCUGCCCUGCACUCGUGGGACAAGCCC